Non-coding RNA from Rattus norvegicus (Norway rat), 737 nucleotides. The record is from RefSeq and is a predicted model, not a curated record. NCBI's taxonomy places the organism in Eukaryota, Metazoa, Chordata, Mammalia, Rodentia, Muridae.
CAGUGCCAAGAUGUGAACCUGGAACCCCAGGACCAGGGGCCAGUGUUCUUAACCACUGAGUUAUCUCUCCAGCUCUGUGUGCAUGAAUCUUGAAGACCUUGUUGAAGUGGAAACUGAAGGGUUCUUUGGAAAGUCAGUUGUGUUGGACGGUGUUUCGUUGGGGCAAACACGUGAAGGAGGGUAUUUCUGAAGACACAGGCAAAAGGCCAAGGCAGACUUGUGAAGGAACCUUUCAAUGAAGCAGCCACAGGUUCGAGGAUGUUCUGCUAAAGCAAGCAUGCAGAAAGACACGUGAUAAAAGAUCCUUUGAUAACUACACGCAUGUGUUGGUUCAUCUUACAUUGCUUUGUUGACGCUCCUUUUGUCAGGACUUCAUAGAGAGAAACACACCAACUUCCGGUAGUGAGCCUUGGCUUUUCUGCCGCUUGUGGGGACUGGGACUGAUUAACAGAGUGAUGUCAGCUGAGACAGGCACUCAUGCUGAGGCGAGACACUUGGCGAGGCAAGACCAAUGGAGGAGGCCACUGCAUUUCCUUGGGUGUAUGAAACAAGGUGACCAAUGGACCCUGCCAUGCCUUUGCACAAACUAGGAAAGGGACAUCUUCAACCCAUGCGGUCUUCAUAGAUUUGAAGCUGGAAAAGUUGAGCAGAGUUGGAGUUCAGCUCCUAGGUACCUCCUGGCAACGCAAACCCUACACAGAAGUAGCCAUGGCUCAAAGAGCAAGUUCCAUUUGAAA